AAGGCCUACCAAGGCGACGAUCUAUAGCUGGUCUGAGAGGACGAUCAGCCACACUGGGACUGAGACAUGGCCCAGACUCCUACGGGAGGCAGCAGUGGGGAAUAUUGGACAAUGGGCGCAAGCCUGAUCCAGCAAUACCGCGUGUGUGAAGAAGGCCUUAGGGUUGUAAAGCACUUUCAAUUGGGAGGAAAACCUGCCGGUCAAUACCCGGUAGCUUGACAUUACCUUUAGAAGAAGCACCGGCUAACUCCGUGCCAGCAGCCGCGGUAAUACGGAGGGUGCGAGCGUUAAUCGGAAUUACUGGGCGUAAAGCGUGCGUAGGCGGUUCGUUAAGUCAGAUGUGAAAGCCCUGGGCUCAACCUGGGAACGGCAUUUGAAACUGGCGGACUAGAGUUUAGUAGAGGGGAGUGGAAUUUCAGGUGUAGCGGUGAAAUGCGUAGAUAUCUGAAGGAACACCAGUGGCGAAGGCGACUCCCUGGACUAGAACUGACGCUGAGGUACGAAAGCGUGGGUAGCAAACAGGAUUAGAUACCCUGGUAGUCCACGCCGUAAACGAUGUCGACUAGCCGUUGGUCCUAUUUACAGGAUUAGUGGCGCAGCUAACGCAUUAAGUCGACCGCCUGGGGAGUACGGCCGCAAGGUUAAAACUCAAAUGAAUUGACGG
RNAcentral lists this ribosomal RNA (664 nucleotides) under uncultured Methylobacter sp. RNAcentral describes it as "bacterial SSU rRNA". It matches the Rfam family "Bacterial small subunit ribosomal RNA", at positions 260 to 916 of the family's 1533-position model. The record is from RNAcentral. Lineage: Bacteria; Pseudomonadati; Pseudomonadota; Gammaproteobacteria; Methylococcales; Methylococcaceae.